UUUUUUUGGUGAUUACUAAAGAGAAACCGGUCUUCUCUCCCUUUAGUCAAAUGACAAAGAGCUGGGGCAGUUGGAUAAAAGCCUUUUAACAACCUGAACGAGAGGAACAGGGAAACCUGCUCCUUUAGCUGUGGCAAAGAUGUGGCAGGUCACAUCUCAGGCCUUUGCUGGUAGCAGCAUGUGGGGGGUGGCCAUGUACUUUGAAUCAUUAGCACGUCAAUUAUACUAUCACGCUGGCUACUCCUAGUUCACUGCGCAGAGGGAUGUUCUCCUUUCACUCUACCCUUUUUUUCAUCACUCAGCUCCAGUUGUACCUUCUUUGAGAAGCUUCUACAAACAGCCCAGUUGGAAGUGCUCUGUCCCCACUGUUAAUCCUCUUGUUUCUCACCGUUACGCUCUUAGUUUUCCAUUGUUACAUGUGAGUUGUCCACGAGGAUACAUGCAUAAGUAUGAGAAUAUAUACCCCUUCCUCAGCAAUUAGCACAGAGAAUUGAAUUAAGCAGUACAAAGGUUUUCAGUUUUAGGUUUACCUGAUUACCCCUUACUAUACUCAAAUGCAUCCCAAUACUUCUGUACUCCUAAAUCAACUGACAACCUUUAAGCAUAUGCUCUUUUGCUAGGUCUUGAAGAGGAGGCACAACUGCCUUCAUAUGAGUCCAGUGUGUGUUGUCAAAAUGUAACUUUUGAAUUGUUCUAAAGCCACAGUAAGAGAACAGACAGAUGAUCUGAAAGGAUGGUGUGUAUAGUCUGAGACUAUUAAAUUUGAGUCCAGCAAUAAAAUCCAGUUUAAAUGGUGAAAUCAACAACUUGGGGACUUUUGCUUCAACCCUGGACUUACUAAUUCACUAUGCAGACCACCCUGAGGGUCAAGUAGCUACCGACAGGAAGCACUGCUGUGGGGGGACCCCAAGCUGAAGAGGAGCAAGCUCUCUCUUAUAAGCUAAAUGACAUGAAGGCUUCUUAAUCUCUGUGACUAUUUCUCUCUGUCACCUCUGAGAUGUGGGCAAUCUUUUCAACUGUUCCACCUGGUUUCAGCAGAACCGUUAAGGAAUGAAGAGGUGACUAAAGAUGAUGCCCUUUUGAUCAGACCACUGGGAAGUGGGGGGCCUCCCCAGAGGCCCAGCAUUGUGAUAACAGAGAUAAUAAAAGACUCCCCAAAAGGGAGCUGAACACCUGGGAAAAACAGAUGGGGUAAUGAGCUUAGGUAUCUCUCCCUAAAAAGAGAGUUCCUCUCCAUGCUAGUUUGGAAGGAUUGGGGCUUGAGUAUAGUAAGGUCCUCUUACAUGAAAGUGCUCAAAGAGCAGUCAUUAUCUAACCCAUGCCAUACAUUUAUAUCCUCGGUAUAUUACAGUGGUUUAUAUUUAUAACAACAGCUCCAGCUGGACUCAGUGGCUCAUGCCUGUAAUUCCAAUACUUUAGGAGGCCGAGAUGGGAGGAUCGCUUGAGGCCAAG
This 1452-nucleotide long non-coding RNA is filed under the name Homo sapiens (human). RNAcentral's name for it is "HSALNT0380679". The record is from RNAcentral. Lineage: Eukaryota; Metazoa; Chordata; Mammalia; Primates; Hominidae.